GGGUUCUGGAGUGCUGGGGUGACCCAAGGGUGACCCAAGGGUGACCCAAGGGUGACCCAUCUAUCUGCCUCUUUAAAACGGCCAGGAGCGUCCACCAUACGGCAGUUCAACGGAACUUAGCAGAAGAAAAACCUCACCAUGUCGAAAUGGCUUCCUCUGGCUUCACUCCUGCUGCUGCUGCUCCUCGUAUGGACGGAGACAGUGGCUCCAGCCCAAGUGGAUCUCGAAAGACUGGACGUCAUGGAAGAGAUAGAAAGACAAGGCGCAGGUGGAAACGCCACCGCGCUUAGUUGGCCUAUCGGGUAUCCAUACCAUCCUAUUAACCUGUGUGGUGACAGGGGUUGUUCGGCUCGCGGUGGAACGUGUGGAUAUGCCAACUAUUUCAAAAAAUGCUCACUGAAGACCAUUACUUUGUGCUCUGGAUUAUGCACCUGCUGUGUCCCAUAAGCUCCCCCGGGAGACGGCCGGGCCAGCAUCCACACUUCGAGGACGACGAAUUUGGACUGACGAAAGAAUGACUCCAUUUCGGGGACACUCAGAAGACGUACUGAGGCCACAGUUUGCUCAACAAAAACUGUGAUCGAAGGACGAAAACACUCCACGCUAUUUACUGAAAAGCGAUUUCUUGAGUUACCUCAAUGGCAUAAAAUGAAAUUAGUAUCUCACCGAAUUCAUUUUGACGCCGUUGAUAAAACCAAGAAGGCAGUCACUAGAUCAUUUUUGACUGACAGGGAGAGUUGGAAUAGCUUCGGAAGAAUCUGAAGACAAUGAUUCACAAUGAACGAUUGUCAAGACCAGAAAGUGUUUUUGAGUGUUCCUAUAAAGUGCAUAAAAUUUUACUUUCAUUAUAUUUGUUCCUUUUUUUGUUUAUUUACUGCUGCCUUUAUCAACAUUGCAUUAGUUCCUUGCACAAAGGCAAUUCUGCCCACAGAAGCCAAUCACUGUAGUGACAGUAGUCGACAAAUCUGUAAGAACUCGGCUACAGCAAUUUUCUCUUUAAUCUGAAAAUUUAACGACUUUUUGCUUGUGACAAAACUGGAAGGUUUUCUUGGGGGGAGGGAACCAGUUGGAGAUGGAAGCCGAGUCCACGGCAUUGGUUGUCCUACAUUUCACUGGUCUUCAAAUACGGUUUCUGUUCGAUUUCAUCAGAUUUUGCACAAAUUAGAGCACCGCUCUCUCUCUCUCUCUCUGUAUUAAAGUAUUAGAGUGAUGAAUUGUUGAACACUGUAAAACACCAAAAGGUAAUAAAUAGAAAAACUUUCA
Molecule: long non-coding RNA, 1263 nt
Organism: Macrobrachium nipponense
Lineage: Eukaryota; Metazoa; Arthropoda; Malacostraca; Decapoda; Palaemonidae
Exons: 3
Source: RefSeq, a predicted model, not a curated record